UACGUAGGGGGCUAGCGUUGUCCGGAAUCAUUGGGCGUAAAGCGCGUGUAGGCGGUUCGGUAAGUCCGCUGUGAAAGUCGGGGGCUCAACCCUCGAAUGCCGGUGGAUACUGUCGGACUAGAGUACGGAAGAGGCGAGUGGAAUUCCUGGUGUAGCAGUGAAAUGCGUAGAUAUCAGGAGGAAUACCGAUGGCGAAGGCAGGUCUCUGGGCUGACACUGACGCUCAUGCACGAAAGCGUGGGGAGCAAACAGG
Molecule: ribosomal RNA, 253 nt
Filed under: uncultured bacterium
Lineage: Bacteria
Description: partial 16S ribosomal RNA
Rfam family: Bacterial small subunit ribosomal RNA
Source: RNAcentral